RNAcentral lists this ribosomal RNA (497 nucleotides) under uncultured bacterium. RNAcentral's name for it is "partial 16S ribosomal RNA". It matches the Rfam family "Bacterial small subunit ribosomal RNA", at positions 28 to 507 of the family's 1533-position model. The record is from RNAcentral.
GAUGAACGCUGGCGGCGUGCCUAAUACAUGCAAGUCGAGCGAACGGACGAGAAGCUUGCUUCUCUGAUGUUAGCGGCGGACGGGUGAGUAACACGUGGAUAACCUACCUAUAAGACUGGGAUAACUUCGGGAAACCGUAGCUAAUACCGGAUAAUAUUUUGAACCGCAUGGUUCAAAAGUGAAAGACGGUCUUGCUGUCACUUAUAGAUGGAUCCGCGCUGCAUUAGCUAGUUGGUAAGGUAACGGCUUACCAAGGCAACGAUGCAUAGCCGACCUGAGAGGGUGAUCGGCCACACUGGAACUGAGACACGGUCCAGACUCCUACGGGAGGCAGCAGUAGGGAAUCUUCCGCAAUGGUCGAAAGCCUGACGGAGCAACGCCGCGUGAGUGAUGAAGGUCUUCGGAUCGUAAAACUCUGUUAUUAGGGAAGAACAUAUGUGUAAGUAACUGUGCACAUCUUGACGGUACCUAAUCAGAGAGCCACGGCUAACUACGUG